Molecule: ribosomal RNA, 385 nt
Filed under: Shigella dysenteriae
Lineage: Bacteria; Pseudomonadati; Pseudomonadota; Gammaproteobacteria; Enterobacterales; Enterobacteriaceae
Description: bacterial LSU rRNA
Rfam family: Bacterial large subunit ribosomal RNA
Source: RNAcentral
GGGUUGUGAGGUUAAGCGACUAAGCGUACACGGUGGAUGCCCUGGCAGUCAGAGGCGAUGAAGGACGUGCUAAUCUGCGAUAAGCGUCGGUAAGGUGAUAUGAACCGUUAUAACCGGCGAUUUCCGAAUGGGGAAACCCAGUGUGAUUCGUCACACUAUCAUUAACUGAAUCCAUAGGUUAAUGAGGCGAACCGGGGGAACUGAAACAUCUAAGUACCCCGAGGAAAAGAAAUCAACCGAGAUUCCCCCAGUAGCGGCGAGCGAACGGGGAGCAGCCCAGAGCCUGAAUCAGUGUGUGUGUUAGUGGAAGCGUCUGGAAAGGCGUGCGAUACAGGGUGACAGCCCCGUACACAAAAAUGCACAUAUUGUGAGCUCGAUGAGUAGG